This is a long non-coding RNA of Patella vulgata (common limpet), 734 nucleotides long. RefSeq lists it as uncharacterized. The transcript is spliced from 5 exons. The record is from RefSeq and is a predicted model, not a curated record. Lineage: Eukaryota; Metazoa; Mollusca; Gastropoda; Patellidae.
UGUAUAUCUUAUCCCUCUAGAUCUGAAGAUAAAAACAGGAGACACGUAGUUUAUUGUUAGUUUAGUGUGAACUGUUUCAACUUUACGAUGAAUCUCCAAGUAUUAUGGGCCCUUACCGGCAUAUUGUCAGUUGUUUUCGUGAACGCCGAUGUUUGCGAUAACCAAUAUACACAACAUGCAGCUCUCCAGAGAUGUUUCGACGAUGAAGGCAUUGAUUAUGCUAUACCUUUAGCCACUGAACAGCUGAAGGACGUAGUAUUAGAUACAGGUGCCGUGUGCAAUGAUUCAGCAGCUUUUAUUCGGUCAGGUUUGUGUGCUUCUAAUAUCAGCAGAUCCUGUGCUCCCAAGGAAGUGGCCCUUCUAGUCCCAACUUCUACGGAGUACACCAAAUCUAUCAAUUAUCUGUGUAGUCAUUUAACAGAAUUAAAACCCGAUUGUAUACAAAGCCAUAUGGAUGAUGUCAAAGCAUGUGCAUUAAAAGAAGUAUUAAAGAAUUCAACUGAUGCACCCGAUUUUUCCAAGGAUUACACGAAGGCACUAUGCAUGACCUUCACUAUCAGUAGUGUCUGUGCCAACUACCAUCUUAGAGAUUGUGGUCUACGCUCAAGGCUAGUCUACAGAACUUAUAAUGAAUAUAUCUUACCGGAUGCUUGUCGAGAUCCUAGUACUAUUAUUGGUUAAUUAAAUUUAAAAUCACCGAUGUAAUUGGGAUCGAAUCUCUCUUUCUAAUAAAG